RNAcentral lists this ribosomal RNA (497 nucleotides) under uncultured bacterium. RNAcentral's name for it is "partial 16S ribosomal RNA". It matches the Rfam family "Bacterial small subunit ribosomal RNA", at positions 28 to 507 of the family's 1533-position model. The record is from RNAcentral.
GAUGAACGCUGGCGGCGUGCCUAAUACAUGCAAGUCGAGCGAACAGACGAGGAUCUUGCUCCUCUGACGUUAGCGGCGGACGGGUGAGUAACAUGUGGAUCACCUACCUAUAAGACUGGGAUAACUUCGGGAAACCGGAGCCAAUACCGGAUAAUAUAUUGAACCGCAUGGUUCAAUAGUGAAAGACGGUUUUGCUGUCACUUAUAGAUGGAUCCGCGCCGCAUUAGCUAGUUGGUAAGGUAACGGCUUACCAAGGCAACGAUGCGUAGCCGACCUGAGAGGGUGAUCGGCCACACUGGAACUGAGACACGGUCCAGACUCCUACGGGAGGCAGCAGUAGGGAAUCGUCCGAAAUGGGCGAAAGCCUGACGGAGCAACGCCGCGUGAGUGAUGAAGGUCUUCGGAUCGUAAAACUCUGUUAUUAGGGAAGAACAAAUGUGUAAGUAACUAUGCACGUCUUGACGGUACCUAAUCAGAAAGCCACGGCUAACUACGUG